RNAcentral lists this ribosomal RNA (256 nucleotides) under uncultured bacterium. RNAcentral's name for it is "partial 16S ribosomal RNA". It matches the Rfam family "Bacterial small subunit ribosomal RNA", at positions 521 to 776 of the family's 1533-position model. The record is from RNAcentral.
UAAUACGGAGGGGGCUAGCGUUGUUCGGAAUUACUGGGCGUAAAGCGCGCGUAGGCGGCCAUGCAAGUCAGAGGUGAAAGCCCGGAGCUUAACUUCGGAACUGCCUUUGAGACUGCAUGGCUUGAACCCGGGAGAGGUAAGUGGAAUUCCGAGUGUAGAGGUGAAAUUCGUAGAUAUUCGGAGGAACACCAGUGGCGAAGGCGGCUUACUGGACCGGUGUUGACGCUGAGGCGCGAAAGCGUGGGGAGCAAACAGG